RNAcentral lists this small RNA (601 nucleotides) under Pan troglodytes (chimpanzee). Its description in RNAcentral is "retained intron". The record is from RNAcentral. Lineage: Eukaryota; Metazoa; Chordata; Mammalia; Primates; Hominidae.
UUCACUUUUAAUUCUAUUUAAACUUGACAUGUUUUGGAUAGUUUUAUUUCCCAACAUAGAACAAUUUUAAGCAAAAAUAAAAAUAAUUAUUUUUAUUUUAUCAGGGGUUGAUAUAGAAGCAGCUCGAAAGGAAGAAGAACGGAUCAUGCUUAGAGAUGCCAGGCAGUGGCUAAAUAGUGGUCAUAUAAAUGAUGUCCGGCAUGCAAAAUCUGGAGGUACAGCACUUCACGUUGCAGCUGCUAAAGGCUAUACGGAAGUUUUAAAACUUUUAAUACAGGCAGGCUAUGAUGUUAAUAUUAAAGACUAUGAUGGCUGGACACCUCUUCAUGCUGCAGCUCAUUGGGGUAAAGAAGAAGCAUGUCGAAUUUUAGUGGACAAUCUGUGUGAUAUGGAGAUGGUCAACAAAGUGGUAGGCGUUUUAAAUGUAUUUUAAUACUUUAACUUUUAGAAAUAUAGUUUUAGAAAGUAUAUUUAGAAAUAUAGUCUCAAAAGGUUAUAAGGAUUACAUUAUAUAAUUAUAUUUUUAUUAACUGUAUAAAACAUUUUUUCAGCCAACUGACUUACUAAUUAAUGGUUUAAGUCUUUUCAGCUACCGUAUGAG